GCUUGUCUCAAAGAUUAAGCCAUGCAUGUCUCAGUAUAAGUUCCUGUACGGCGAAACUGCGAAUGGCUCAUUAAAACAGUUAUAGUUUAUUUGAUGGUCGUUCCUUACAUGGAUAACUGUGGUAAUUCUAGAGCUAAUACAUGCACCCAUGCCCGACUUUGUGGAAGGGUUGUGUUUAUUAGUUACAGAACCAACCCAGGCUCUGCCUGGUCUUGUGGUGAUUCAUAAUAACUGUUCGAAUCGCAUGCUUCGGCAGGCGAUAGUUCAUUCAAAUUUCUGCCCUAUCAGCUUUCGACGGUAGUGUAGUGGACUACCGUGGCGUUAACGGGUAACGGAGAAUUAGGGUUCGAUUCCGGAGAGGGAGCCUGAGAAAUGGCUACCACAUCCAAGGAAGGCAGCAGG
Molecule: ribosomal RNA, 402 nt
Filed under: uncultured dinoflagellate
Lineage: Eukaryota; Dinophyceae
Description: partial small subunit ribosomal RNA
Rfam family: Eukaryotic small subunit ribosomal RNA
Source: RNAcentral